Molecule: ribosomal RNA, 420 nt
Filed under: Vibrio parahaemolyticus
Lineage: Bacteria; Pseudomonadati; Pseudomonadota; Gammaproteobacteria; Vibrionales; Vibrionaceae
Description: bacterial SSU rRNA
Rfam family: Bacterial small subunit ribosomal RNA
Source: RNAcentral
CGGGAGGCAGCAGUGGGGAAUAUUGCACAAUGGGCGCAAGCCUGAUGCAGCCAUGCCGCGUGUGUGAAGAAGGCCUUCGGGUUGUAAAGCACUUUCAGUCGUGAGGAAGGUAGUGUAGUUAAUAGCUGCAUUAUUUGACGUUAGCGACAGAAGAAGCACCGGCUAACUCCGUGCCAGCAGCCGCGGUAAUACGGAGGGUGCGAGCGUUAAUCGGAAUUACUGGGCGUAAAGCGCAUGCAGGUGGUUUGUUAAGUCAGAUGUGAAAGCCCGGGGCUCAACCUCGGAAUUGCAUUUGAAACUGGCAGACUAGAGUACUGUAGAGGGGGGUAGAAUUUCAGGUGUAGCGGUGAAAUGCGUAGAGAUCUGAAGGAAUACCGGUGGCGAAGGCGGCCCCCUGGACAGAUACUGACACUCAGAUGC